This 497-nucleotide ribosomal RNA is filed under the name uncultured bacterium. RNAcentral describes it as "partial 16S ribosomal RNA". It matches the Rfam family "Bacterial small subunit ribosomal RNA", at positions 29 to 507 of the family's 1533-position model. The record is from RNAcentral.
AGUGAACGCUGGCGGCAGGCCUAAUACAUGCAAGUCGAGCGAACAGACAGUAAGCUUGCUCCUCUAAGGGUGGCGACUGACGGGUGAGUAAGAAGUAGAUAACCUACCUAUAAUACUUGGAGAACUACGUGAGGCAGGAGCUGAUACUAGAGAAUAUAUUGAACGGGAUGGAUCAAGAGUUAAACGCGGUUUUGCUGUCACUUAUAGAUGGAUCCGCGCCGCAUUAGCUAGUUGGUAAGGUAACGGCUUACCAAGGCAACGAUGCGUAGCCGAUCUGAGAGGGUGAUCAGCCACACUGGAACUGAGACACGGUCCAGACUCCUACGGGAGGCAGCAGUAGGGAAUAUUCGGCAAUGGGCGAAAGCCUGACGGAGCAAUGCCGCGUGAGUGAUGAAGGUCUUCGGAUCGUAAAACCCUUUUAUUAGGGAAGAAAAAAUGUGUAAGUAACUCCGCACGUCUUGACGGUACCUAAUCAGAAAGCCACGGCUAACUACGUG